GUCCUUAUGGAUUACGUUCGGAUAUUAAGCGCAUGAUUUCCAGCCUACCCACGAUGGGGAAGACCUUGGCGGAAUCUCCGGUACCAAUAGCUUGUACCAAUCUGUCCUCCUUCAAGUCCAAAGCUGGAUCUUAUAUAGUCCAAUGGUCCAUACACAUGUCUAUAGCUGUAGGCCGGUUGUAUAAUCAUCUGGUUAUCGAGUACUAUUUACAUGAGGUUAAUUGUC
Molecule: long non-coding RNA, 225 nt
Filed under: Mytilus galloprovincialis (Mediterranean mussel)
Lineage: Eukaryota; Metazoa; Mollusca; Bivalvia; Mytilida; Mytilidae
Source: RNAcentral